UAGGGCAAGUCUGGUGCCAGCAGCCGCGGUAAUUCCAGCUCCAAUAGCGUAUAUUAAAGUUGUUGCAGUUAAAAAGCUCGUAGUUGAACCUUGGGUCUGGCUGGCCGGUCCGCCUCACCGCGAGUACUGGUCCGGCUGGACCUUUCCUUCUGGGGAACCUCAUGGCCUUCACUGGCUGUGGGGGGAACCAGGACUUUUACUGUGAAAAAAUUAGAGUGUUCAAAGCAGGCCUUUGCUCGAAUACAUUAGCAUGGAAUAAUAGAAUAGGACGUGCGGUUCUAUUUUGUUGGUUUCUAGGACCGCCGUAAUGAUUAAUAGGGAUAGUCGGGGGCGUCAGUAUUCAGCUGUCAGAGGUGAAAUUCUUGGAUUUGCUGAAGACUAACUACUGCGAAAGCAUUCGCCAAGGAUGUUUUCAUUAAUCAGGGAACGAAAGUUAGGGGAUCGAAGACGAUCAGAUACCGUCGUAGUCUUAACCAUAAACUAUGCCGACUAGGGAUCGGACGGGAUUCUAUAAUGACCCGUUCGGCGCCUUACGGGAAAC
This 541-nucleotide ribosomal RNA is filed under the name uncultured Eurotiomycetes. RNAcentral's name for it is "SSU rRNA". It matches the Rfam family "Eukaryotic small subunit ribosomal RNA", at positions 551 to 1098 of the family's 1831-position model. Lineage: Eukaryota; Fungi; Ascomycota; Eurotiomycetes. The record is from RNAcentral.